This 252-nucleotide ribosomal RNA is filed under the name uncultured bacterium. RNAcentral's name for it is "partial 16S ribosomal RNA". It matches the Rfam family "Bacterial small subunit ribosomal RNA", at positions 524 to 776 of the family's 1533-position model. The record is from RNAcentral.
UACGUAGGUGGCAAGCGUUAUCCGGAAUUAUUGGGCGUAAAGGGAGCGCAGGCGGUUUAAUAAGUCUGAGGUUAAAGUUCGGGGCUCAACCCCGUGAUGCCUUAGAAACUGUUAGACUAGAGUGCAGGAGAGGUGAGUGGAAUUCCAUGUGUAGCGGUAAAAUGCGUAGAUAUAUGGAGGAACACCAGUGGCGAAGGCGGCUCACUGGCCUGUAACUGACGCUGAGGCUCGAAAGCGUGGGGAGCAAAUAGG